UCCGAGUUGACCCCGGCAGUCUCCUACGAGUCCCCGGCAUAACCCGCUGGCAACAUAGGACAAGGGUUGCGCUCGUUGCGGGACUUAACCCAACACCUCACGGCACGGGCUGACGACAGCCAUGCAACACCUGUCCUGGUUCCCGACUUCACGGGUGGGACACCGUUUCCGGCGCCUACUUCCAGAAUGUCAAGCCUGGGUAAGGUUCUUCGCUUUGCAUCGAAUUAAGCAACGCGCUCCGCCGCUUGUGCGGGCCCCCGUCAAUUCCUUUGAGUUUUAGCCUUGCGGCCGUACUCCCCAGGCGGCGAACUUAAUGCGUUAGCGCCGGCACCCAGGGGGUCGCUCCCCCAGGCACCUAGUGCCCAUCGUUUACGGCGUGGACUAC
RNAcentral lists this unclassified non-coding RNA (385 nucleotides) under uncultured Actinomycetes bacterium. RNAcentral's name for it is "uncultured actinobacterium contains 16S-23S intergenic spacer region". The record is from RNAcentral. Lineage: Bacteria; Bacillati; Actinomycetota; Actinomycetes.